ACGAGGGCGUCGUGCCUUUAUAAGACUACGUUAAUGGCGUUAAUGUUUCCGUGGAGUUAUCCCUUUCAGUUGUUGUUUAUUGAUUGUUAAACAUGGCUUCAUUUGCAAAGGUGGUUGUGUGUUUCCUCAUUGCUUGUGUCUGUAAUUCAUUCUGUUUUGCGAAGAGAGAUGUGAACUUUAAGGCAUAUGCAGUUGACCGCCAAAGUGAUGUGGUUGUCACCACAACACCCAAUCCCCACAGCCAGACCACAUCUGCCCAUACUGAAGCUGGUGGUGGUGCAAGUGAAGAUGCUACCACCCUAGCACCAAAUCCCCAUAAACAAACUACAUCAGGCCACACUGCAGCUACUGAUGAUCCCAGUGAAGAUGCUUUGGCUACCACCCCAACACCACAUCCCCCAACUACAUCUGACCACACUGCAGCUACCGAUGAUCCAAGUGAAGAUGCUGUGGCUACCACCCCAACACCAAAUCCCCCAACUACAUCUGACCACCCUGCAGCUACCGAUGAUCCAAGUGAAGAUGCUUUGGCUACCACCCCAACACCACAUCCCCCAACUACAUCUGACCACACUGCAGCUACCGAUGAUCCAAGUGAAGAUGCUUUGGCUACCACCCCAACAUCACAUCCCCCAACUACAUCUGACCACACUGCAGCUACCGAUGAUGCAAGUGAGGGUGCUGUGGCUGUCCAAACUGGAACUACUGUAUCCCAUACGACUGAAGUCUGAUUCGACUGCUCCUCUGGUCACAAUGACCUGAGUCACUGUCUGGACUUUUUGCCUCUACAUGUUGACUGCAAUAAAGGACAGAUAAUUAUUAUUAUUA
This is a long non-coding RNA of Clupea harengus (Atlantic herring), 828 nucleotides long. The record is from Ensembl. NCBI's taxonomy places the organism in Eukaryota, Metazoa, Chordata, Actinopteri, Clupeiformes, Clupeidae.